RNAcentral lists this ribosomal RNA (550 nucleotides) under uncultured bacterium. RNAcentral describes it as "bacterial SSU rRNA". It matches the Rfam family "Bacterial small subunit ribosomal RNA", at positions 355 to 896 of the family's 1533-position model. The record is from RNAcentral.
UGGGGAAUUUUGGACAAUGGGCGCAAGCCUGAUAGCAGCCAUGCCGCGUGUCUGAAGAAGGCCUUCGGGUUGUAAAGGACUUUUGUCAGGGAAGAAAAGGAUAGGGUUAAUACCCCUGUCUGAUGACGGUACCUGAAGAAUAAGCACCGGCUAACUACGUGCCAGCAGCCGCGGUAAUACGUAGGGUGCGAGCGUUAAUCGGAAUUACUGGGCGUAAAGCGGGCGCAGACGGUUACUUAAGCAGGAUGUGAAAUCCCCGGGCUCAACCUGGGAACUGCGUUCUGAACUGGGUGACUAGAGUGUGUCAGAGGGAGGUAGAAUUCCACGUGUAGCAGUGAAAUGCGUAGAGAUGUGGAGGAAUACCGAUGGCGAAGGCAGCCUCCUGGGAUAACACUGACGUUCAUGCCCGAAAGCGUGGGUAGCAAACAGGAUUAGAUACCCUGGUAGUCCACGCCCUAAACGAUGUCGAUUAGCUGUUGGGCAGCUUGACUGCUUAGUAGCGAAGCUAACGCGUGAAAUCGACCGCCUGGGGAGUACGGUCGCAAGAUUA